GACGAACGCUGGCGGCGUGCCUAAUACAUGCAAGUAGAACGCUGAAGGCGGAGCUUGCUUCUCUGGAUGAGUUGCGCACGGGUGAGUAACGCGUAGGUAACCUGCCUGGUAGCGGGGGAUAACUAUUGGAAACGAUAGCUAAUACCGCAUAAUAGUAGAUGUUGCAUGACAUUUGCUUAAAAGGUGCAAUUGCAUCACUACCAGAUGGACCUGCGUUGUCUUGGCUAGUUGGUGGGGUAACGGCUCACCAAGGCGACGAGACAUAGCCGACCUGAGGGGGUGGUCGGCCACACUGGGACUGAGAAACGGCCCAGACUCCUGCGGGAGGCAGCAGUAGGGAAUCGGCGGCAAUGGACGGAAGUCUGACCGAGCAAGGCCGCGUGAGGGGAGAAGGUUUUCGGAUCGUAAAGCGCUGUUGUAAGAGAAGAACGAGUGUGAGAGUGGAAAGGUCACGCUGUGACGGUAUCUUACCAGAAAGGGACGGCUAACUACGUG
RNAcentral lists this ribosomal RNA (495 nucleotides) under uncultured bacterium. Its description in RNAcentral is "partial 16S ribosomal RNA". It matches the Rfam family "Bacterial small subunit ribosomal RNA", at positions 28 to 507 of the family's 1533-position model. The record is from RNAcentral.